RNAcentral lists this ribosomal RNA (425 nucleotides) under uncultured bacterium. RNAcentral describes it as "bacterial SSU rRNA". It matches the Rfam family "Bacterial small subunit ribosomal RNA", at positions 354 to 796 of the family's 1533-position model. The record is from RNAcentral.
GUGGGGAAUCUUGCACAAUGGGGGAAACCCUGAUGCAGCGACGCCGCGUGAGCGAUGAAGCCCUUCGGGGUGUAAAGCUCUUUCGACAGGAACGAUAAUGACGGUACCUGGAGAAGAAGCUGCGGCUAACUACGUGCCAGCAGCCGCGGUAAUACGUAGGCAGCAAGCGUUGUUCGGAAUUACUGGGCGUAAAGCGUGCGUAGGCGGUGCCAUAAGUUUGGUGUGAAAUCUCCCGGCUUAACUGGGAGGGUGCGCCGAAAACUGUGGUGCUUGAGUGUGGGAGAGGUAAGCGGAAUUCCUGGUGUAGCGGUGAAAUGCGUAGAUAUCAGGAGGAACACCGGCGGUGUAGACGGCUUACUGGACCACGACUGACGCUGAUGCACGAAAGUGUGGGGAGCAAACAGGAUUAGAAACCCUAGUAGUCC